AAUUAUUUCUCAAUCACAAAUAAAAAAAUUUAUUGGUCACAAAUUAUUUCUCUACCACAAAUUAAAAAUUUUAUAGGUUACGAUUUAUUCAUCAAUCACAAAUUUUAACAGUCGCUAAUUAUUUAACAGUCACAAAUAUCAAAUUAGUUGGUCACAGAUUAUUUCUCGAUCACAACUUAAUAAAUUGUAAAUCAACCAAAUAAUUGAUCACAAACAACCCCACCAACGACCAUCCCAUCUCCACCCACGAUCGUGACGGCCAUGACCACUACCAAAACACACCACAUAAACCACAACACUUAUCGCAACCACCACACACCACAACAAUGCAUCAACCACACCACCACAAACCACAGCAACCACCAACCAACCAACCACACCAUAACCACCAACUACAUCGCAUCGCAACCACCAACCAUUGCAUUGUAACCUCAAAACCACCGCACCAUUUGAACCCAUCGUCAUUUGAACUCGUUGGAUCUAAUCAGAGCCAUCGCUGCUGCUUCGUGUUGCCGGAGAUGACGCUAUCACUCUCAGAGCUUCAAACACGGGGAUGAUGCCCGUCGAACUCAAAUAGUGCUAUGGCUAACACCUCUCAUAUCGUGUUGCAAUUGACGCUUUCAAAUCAGCGUCAUUUUCAGAUCGACAAGUGAUGAAUUGUGGUGGGCAGGGUGGCAACGCAGCGACUAUGGUUAGUUGGGCUUGGUAGCUCAAUGGCUGUAGAGUUGUUGGAGAAAGAGGAUAGAGAGAGAUGGAAGAGGAAUAGAGAGUAGAGGUGAGCGCGGUAUAUACACACACACACACACACACACAAACACAGAGAGGGUUGGAAAAUAAUUAGGGUCUAGAGAGGGUAGAUAGUAGUGUGGUGGAUAUGUAAAAUAAUUUAAUUUUUGCAAUAUUAUUAUUAAUAUUUAUAAUAGUAUAUUAUUAUCUGAUUUUUACAUAAAAAAAUAUCAAAUCUGAUUUU
RNAcentral lists this long non-coding RNA (970 nucleotides) under Olea europaea (common olive). RNAcentral's name for it is "long non-coding RNA (OEUR_LNC002465)". Lineage: Eukaryota; Viridiplantae; Streptophyta; Magnoliopsida; Lamiales; Oleaceae. The record is from RNAcentral.